Molecule: ribosomal RNA, 259 nt
Filed under: uncultured bacterium
Lineage: Bacteria
Description: partial 16S ribosomal RNA
Rfam family: Bacterial small subunit ribosomal RNA
Source: RNAcentral
CGGCGGACGGGUGAGUAACGCGUGGGUAACCUGCCUUACACAGGGGGAUAACAGUUAGAAAUGACUGCUAAUACCGCAUAACCCGCUAGGGCCGCAUGGCCUGGACGGAAAAGAUUUUAUCGGUGUAAGAUGGACCCGCGUCUGAUUAGCUGGUUGGUGAGGUAACGGCUCACCAAGGCGACGAUCAGUAGCCGACCUGAGAGGGUGAUCGGCCACAUUGGGACUGAGACACGGCCCAAACUCCUACGGAAGGCAGCAG